RNAcentral lists this unclassified non-coding RNA (231 nucleotides) under fungal sp. RNAcentral describes it as "partial internal transcribed spacer region". The stretch from base 1 to 48 matches the Rfam family "Eukaryotic small subunit ribosomal RNA", at positions 1784 to 1831 of the family's 1831-position model. The record is from RNAcentral. Lineage: Eukaryota; Fungi.
AAAAGUCGUAACAAGGUCUCCGUAGGUGAACCUGCGGAGGGAUCAUUACUGAGUGUAAAAACUCCAAACCCAUGUGAACUUACCACUGUUGCCUCGGCGCAGUUUCCUGUCUGGUGGCGAGAGCUGCUGGGCGGGUUGCGCCGGUGGACUACCAAACUCUUGUAAUUUUGGCAUUCUGAAUAAAAAAACUUAAUAAGUUAAAACUUUCAACAACGGAUCUCUUGGUUCUGG